RNAcentral lists this unclassified non-coding RNA (341 nucleotides) under soil metagenome. RNAcentral describes it as "partial contains 5.8S ribosomal RNA, internal transcribed spacer 2, and large subunit ribosomal RNA". The stretch from base 1 to 120 matches the Rfam family "5.8S ribosomal RNA", at positions 35 to 154 of the family's 154-position model. The record is from RNAcentral.
GAUGAAGAACGUAGCGAAAUGCGAUAAGUAGUGUGAAUUGCAGAAUUCAGUGAAUCAUCGAAUCUUUGAACGCACAUUGCGCCCUUUGGUAUUCCAAAGGGCAUGCCUGUUCGAGCGUCAUUUGUACCCUCAAGCUUUGCUUGGUGUUGGGCGUCUUGUCUCUAGCUUUGCUGGAGACUCGCCUUAAAGUAAUUGGCAGCCGGCCUACUGGUUUCGGAGCGCAGCACAGGUCGCACUCUCUAUCAGCAAAGGUCUAGCAUCCACUAAGCCUUUUUUUCAACUUUUGACCUCGGAUCAGGUAGGGAUACCCGCUGAACUUAAGCAUAUCAAUAAGCGGAGGA